RNAcentral lists this long non-coding RNA (242 nucleotides) under Lathyrus oleraceus (garden pea). RNAcentral describes it as "Pisum sativum (pea) long non-coding RNA (PSAT_LNC005448)". The record is from RNAcentral. Lineage: Eukaryota; Viridiplantae; Streptophyta; Magnoliopsida; Fabales; Fabaceae.
UCAGGUUUUUACUUUAAUUGGAGCCCCGGUCGCGAAAAGGAGUGAAAAUGAGCUAAAAACCCUAAAAUUCAGCAUUUUGCACUUGUGUCUGGCGCCAUGGACCCUGCCAUGACGUGUCCUAGAUCAACUUUCCUCAACUGUCACGUUCCCCACUACUUCCACUAAGGCUCCACAAAUUGGCCUUGUGGCGGGUGCCACAAGAGGAAAAGUUUUCCCUCCCAUUUUCAAACUGAAGGGCAUCC